GCGCACCAGGCGAGAAACCUCUACAAUGUGCGAAAGCAUGAUAGGGGGACUCCAAGUGUCUCUCUAAAGAGAGACUUUUGUAGUAUGUAAAAAGUACUACGAAUAAGGGGUGGUCAAGACUAGUGCCAGCCUCCGCGGUAACACUAGCAGCCCGAGUGGUAGUCAUUUUUUAUUUGGCUUAAAGCGUCCGUAGUCUGAUUAGUAAGUUCUCUGUGAAAUCCUGUUGCUUAACAAUAGGGCUUGCAGAGAAUACUACCAAUCUUGGAGCCAGGGGGGGGCUAGGGGUAUUCCGGGGGUAGCGGUGAAAUGCUAUAAUCCCCGGAGAACCACCAAUGGCGAAGGCACCUAACUGGAAUGGGCUCGACGAUGAGGGACGAAAGCUAGGGGAGCAAACCGGAUUAGAUACCCC
Molecule: ribosomal RNA, 409 nt
Filed under: uncultured microorganism
Description: partial 16S ribosomal RNA
Rfam family: Archaeal small subunit ribosomal RNA
Source: RNAcentral